RNAcentral lists this long non-coding RNA (237 nucleotides) under Vitis vinifera (wine grape). RNAcentral describes it as "long non-coding RNA (VVIN_LNC001055)". Lineage: Eukaryota; Viridiplantae; Streptophyta; Magnoliopsida; Vitales; Vitaceae. The record is from RNAcentral.
GGAGAGGUAUUUAUAGGCAAAUAACUCGAAGAGGUUCGGUAUGAAUAGGUUUCCAAAUCCAAUUUGCAUAAAGUUCUAAAAAAUAUUCUCUAAAGCUUGAUAGAAAAUACAUGAGUGCUCGAGUGUACUUAACCAUUGCUUGAGUGCCUUAGGCAUUUAAGCAGUGCUAACUGCUUGAGCAGUCCUAAAGCUUGAGUGGUCCUAACACUUGAGCGUUUUUGCCCGUUGAGUGUCCCC